Molecule: long non-coding RNA, 2426 nt
Filed under: Bemisia tabaci
Lineage: Eukaryota; Metazoa; Arthropoda; Insecta; Hemiptera; Aleyrodidae
Description: lncRNA ENSASIAIIG002815
Source: RNAcentral
GAUGACUCUGCCUUGAUGCGGUCAGUAUCUCUUUAACCGCGAUCUCUGGUACAUCCGCCCGAAUUCUGACGCGCCACCAUGUCGGUUUAUGUGUGACCGCGAGCGAAGAUGUGACAAGUGAUCUGUGCGCAUGUGUGUGUCAAGUGCAGUCCCUUCGAAGGACGCGUUUCCCCGGACCUCUCACCUAGAUACAUCGACUAUUAUGAUCAAAGAAUAAAAUGUCCGCAAAGUCCCGAGGAUGCACGAUCCUACGAUGCUUGGUGUUGCAGCAAUUAGUUCUCGUGACAGACAUUUUGGGGCAGGCGAGGCCGCCCCCACGGCCGUCCAGACCCCCCGGUCCCCCGGGCCCAGUGCACCCCCGCAUAGGUAACCCCCCCUACCAGAAGCACCUGAACCCCUAUCACACACCACCCCCUACUCGCGCUACCGUGGGGGUACCGCGUCCCCCUUCAAUCACAAAAACGCCCUCAACCCACCCUCUAGUCCUAGUUUACCUGAAUUCUCUAAUCAUAAGGCUAAUAGUAAGUACCGGCAACCCAAUGUACCGCCUCGGCGACCCCCCAACAAAUACUUCAAACCCUCCACUCGCGGGCAAGAAAAAUACGUCCCCUACCCGCAGACCAGCAGGCCGGAGCAGCUCCACGAGUACCAACAGAACUACUACAAGCUCCAACAAUCCCAGAAGCAGUUCUUCAACCAACCCAUCAAGCAGCUCUACCAACAGCAGCAAGAACAGCUCGCCUACCACAAGCAGCAGCUCAAACUAGAAGAACAACACGCGCAGCAUUCUCAGCAGGUCUUCAGCCGCGUUAAGUACCCCGAAGACAAGCCACGCCCCUCGAGUUACAUAGUAACACCCCACCCGGAAAACUACGAUCCCUUUACCAGUGUGAGCACCUCAGAGUACACGCUAAAUUUCGACCGGAAUCCCUUCAAAAUUGGCGGUGACACCGAGACUCCCAGCUACUACGGCAAGACCCCGAGUUAUUUGGACACCCAAACGGAGGCGUAUAGCUUUGACAGCCAGAACAACCACGCCCCCAGUGGCAACCAGACUGAGGAAACGCAACAGAGACCCUCCCACCUUCUCCACUCCGAUCUCCUCACCCCAGACCGACUGCGCCAGUUUAAUAAACUAAAAACCUCCACGCCCACCUCUUCGCCCUCCGGGCGACCUCCUGGUAACCGCACGAUCUCCACGAACAUCUCCUUACUGAGCAACAACAUCGACUCCAAACACAAACACCUCAUCAAAUUCGUGCGCAGCCAGGCAGGGGGGUUUAAGUCCCGGGGGGACGACGACCCCGGGGGUGGGGCUGGGGGCGGAGCCGGGGAUGUAACUGGGGGCGGGGAAAGCCCACCCCCUGCCAACCGCCGCGCAGAUCAUAACUACUUCCCCGACCCCACGGAAGAAGCCCCUCCCCCUCCUGGCAACAUCUUCUCCGUGCCGACGAGCAGACAAACAACAGCCAUCAACCACAACCGUGGCCUGACAACGAUGCCCCACAAUACCCAACUGGCAACAAUGGACUGGGGGUUGACAACGGAGCGCUACCCCCUUCGCCGGGCCUACGGACAACCAUUCUCGACCCCCGGACAAAAGAACUCCCAGUACAUGAAGCCGACGGGGUUUCGCGGGGAGCAGCCGAAGAUCGUGCGGGGGUCACACCUGAACAACGUCACCCAUUUGAUAGGGGUGAGUCUCAACGACACUGACGCCCCUAGCGCCGAGGCGCUGCACUACUACGGGCGGCUGGCGGAUGAUGAGGAUCGGGAGGAACUGUAUCGGAUGCUCCAGAAUGUGACGCUCUUGUCGGAUAUAAGGAAGCAGAUUCUGGACUCGGUUUCAACGCAUAUGACGGAUGGGAUCGAUAUUGAGUAUCCGGAUGUUUAUGCUGAAGCCACCGAGGAUGAGGAUGAUUCUUUCGUUUUUGCCUCUGCGCCCAGACCGAGGCCUGAAAAAUAUCCAAAAUUUCGACCGCCCAUAACGGACUACUCGCCUGAGAUAAUGAUUCACUCAGAUUUGAUGAGCGACUACGAGAAGAACAGGCCCCACAGCACAAACUUAGUUGAGAUCACGUCGACGCACCGGGACUGCCGGCUGAGGUCGCGGCGGUACAUCUCGGACGGGCAGUGCACCUCGCCGCAGCCGAUCACGGAGGCCGUCUGCGCGGACAGCUGCACGAUGCCCUCGUACAUGUUCAACGAGCUCCCGGAGCCGCCCGAGGACGAGUACCUGGACGAGCCGCCCCGGAGCGUCCAGUACGCCGGGUGGCUCAGGCGCAAGAACUCCAAGCGACGCACCCGCUCGUCCCCCGCCAAGCCGGACAAGACCCACCGACAGGACUAUAUCGAGGAUUUUGACAUGCCCGAGGUGAGUCCCAAAGCUAAUUCUAGGUGGCGGUAACCACCCCGGCCCAAUCCUA